CACGUAGGGGGCAAGCGUUGUCCGGAUUUAUUGGGCGUAAAGAGCUCGUAGGCGGCUCAGUAAGUCGGGUGUGAAACCUCCAGGCUCAACCUGGAGACGCCACCCGAUACUGCUGUGGCUUGAGUCCGGUAGGGGAGCGUGGAAUUCCUUGUGUAGCGGUGAAAUGCGCAGAUAUCAGGAGGAACACCAGCGGCGAAGGCGGCGCUCUGGGCCGGAACUGACGCUGAGGAGCGAAAGCGUGUGUAGCAAACAGG
Molecule: ribosomal RNA, 254 nt
Filed under: uncultured bacterium
Lineage: Bacteria
Description: partial 16S ribosomal RNA
Rfam family: Bacterial small subunit ribosomal RNA
Source: RNAcentral